UACGUAGGGUGCGAGCGUUGUCCGGAUUUAUUGGGCGUAAAGCGAGCGCAGGUGGUUUAAUAAGUCUGAUGUAAAAGGCGGUGGCUCAACCAUUGUGUGCAUUGGAUACUGUUAGACUUAAGUGCAGUAGAGGAGAGUGGAAUUCCAUGUGUAGCGGUGAAAUGCGUAGAUAUAUGGAGGAACACCGGUGGCGAAAGCGGCUCUCUGGACUGUAACUGACGCUGAGGCGCGAAAGCGUGGGUAGCAAACAGG
This 252-nucleotide ribosomal RNA is filed under the name uncultured microorganism. RNAcentral describes it as "partial 16S ribosomal RNA". It matches the Rfam family "Bacterial small subunit ribosomal RNA", at positions 524 to 776 of the family's 1533-position model. The record is from RNAcentral.